This 253-nucleotide ribosomal RNA is filed under the name uncultured bacterium. RNAcentral's name for it is "partial 16S ribosomal RNA". It matches the Rfam family "Bacterial small subunit ribosomal RNA", at positions 524 to 776 of the family's 1533-position model. The record is from RNAcentral.
UACGUAGGGCGCAAGCGUUGUCCGGAAUUACUGGGCGUAAAGAGCUCGUAGGUGGUUUGUCGCGUUGUCCGUGAAAACUCACAGCUCAACUGUGGGCGUGCGGGCGAUACGGGCAGACUGGAGUACUGCAGGGGAGACUGGAAUUCCUGGUGUAGCGGUGGAAUGCGCAGAUAUCAGGAGGAACACCGGUGGCGAAGGCGGGUCUCUGGGCAGUAACUGACGCUGAGGAGCGAAAGCGUGGGGAGCGAACAGG